This 398-nucleotide ribosomal RNA is filed under the name uncultured bacterium. RNAcentral's name for it is "partial 16S ribosomal RNA". It matches the Rfam family "Bacterial small subunit ribosomal RNA", at positions 523 to 918 of the family's 1533-position model. The record is from RNAcentral.
AUACGUAGGGUGCGAGCGUUGUCCGGAAUUACUGGGCGUAAAGAGCUCGUAGGUGGUUUGUCGCGUCGUCUGUGAAAUUCCGGGGCUUAACUCCGGGCGUGCAGGCGAUACGGGCAUAACUUGAGUACUGUAGGGGAGACUGGAAUUCCUGGUGUAGCGGUGAAAUGCGCAGAUAUCAGGAGGAACACCGGUGGCGAAGGCGGGUCUCUGGGCAGUAACUGACGCUGAGGGGCGAAAGCAUGGGUAGCGAACAGGAUUAGAUGCCCUGGUAGUCCAUGCCGUAAACGGUGGGCGCUAGGUGUAGGGGUCUUCCACGACUUCUGUGCCGUAGCUAACGCAUUAAGCGCCCCGCCUGGGGAGUACGGCCGCAAGGCUAAAACUCAAAUGAAUUGACGGGG